Molecule: ribosomal RNA, 207 nt
Filed under: uncultured bacterium
Lineage: Bacteria
Description: partial 16S ribosomal RNA
Rfam family: Bacterial small subunit ribosomal RNA
Source: RNAcentral
CUCGUAGGAGGUUCGUCGCGUCCGGUGUGAAAGUCCAUCGCUUAACGGUGGAUCCGCGCCGGGUACGGGCGGGCUUGAGUGCGGUAGGGGAGACUGGAAUUCCCGGUGUAACGGUGGAAUGUGUAGAUAUCGGGAAGAACACCAAUGGCGAAGGCAGGUCUCUGGGCCGUUACUGACGCUGAGGAGCGAAAGCGUGGGGAGCGAACA